Molecule: long non-coding RNA, 169 nt
Organism: Ipomoea triloba (trilobed morning glory)
Lineage: Eukaryota; Viridiplantae; Streptophyta; Magnoliopsida; Solanales; Convolvulaceae
Exons: 3
Source: RefSeq, a predicted model, not a curated record
GAGUUUCAUUGCAAAAGAUCCUGCUUCUGGAUAUGGUUCUGUAAUUCCUGAUGCUCAUGGUAUUGAAUCUCAUUCCUCAACUAAGGCUUUAGCAGAGAAGGUCGGAAACUAUUUGGAUCAAUAUAUUGAAGCCAUGGAAAAGGUAAAAUUGAAGCAAGGCUUGAAGAUU